CGAGAUUCAAGCGCAUCAUCAGGUUAUCCACGGCAUCUUCUUCCAAGCUGCUCAGAGAGUUUGAUGAUGAUGACUCUUGCCUAGAUGAGUUCUGCAAAAAUUGAAUGGAUCUUCGGAGAGGAGAGGAGGAAGGAAGGAAUAUUCUGAGGUGACGUGACCAGUGAAUGCCACUGAAGAAGAUGGAAGCAAAAGCUGCUACACUGGAGACGGAAGUCGCUGGCCUCAGGACGGCGAAGCACGCAAUGCAACUCACAGCAGAGGAGAAUCAUGAGAAGCUAGUAGUGUUGUUGUCCAAAAACAACAGUGAUUCGAAUGGAGAGAGUUCCCCAAUGAAGUUGUCUGCGAUCUUACAUGGGGACACCUUGGACGAAUUCCGAAAAUCAGUGAAGAAAGUAGAGCUACCGAUGUUUGCCGCGAGGAUCCAGCCGGGUGGAUCAUUUGUGUGGAGGUUUACUUUUAAGUCCAAGGCACGCACCCAAAUGUGAAGGUGAGCUAGGCCAGCUGUUCCUGGAUGGAUCUACGAUCCAUUUUUUCAAGUCCCUCCUCGAUGAAUACCCAAGUCUGACAUGGGAGAAGCUCAAGAGCGAGUUGUUGGAAUGAUACGGAGGCAUUGAUGAGGGUGACGAUUUAGAAAGGCUGGCCGUUAUCCGCCAAGACGGCAUGGUGGACAAGUACAUUUUGGAGUUUGAGACGCUCACUGCUCAGGAGUCACGAUUGCCUAAUGACCAGUUUUUUGGGUACUUCGUGCACGGAUUGAAGGAUGGGAUCAGAGGGCGUGUGCGUAGCCUACACACUUUGGGACCACUUUUCCAAUCAAGGAUGAUGAAAUCAGGCAAUAGCAGUGGAGUUAGAGCGUGGAUGGAAUGGACCUCACGACCCAGUGCGAAGCAGUGUUGGGGUAAGCUCAGGCAACCGGGUCGGCCCAACACAAACUAACAUGUUUUACCGACCCUGUUAGGAGCAAAACCAGAAAUAGGAACAGAGACACUAGCAUUCGAGGCCUAGUGCUACCUCCAGAAUCAAAUAGAAAGAAGAGAAUGAUAUUUCAUAACUUGUCUGCCUUCUUACAAUACUUAGUAACUAUGUAUAUAGGCACGAUUGAGGCACUCUGAUCCUCAAUUCUUAGCAACGACAGAAUGAUAACAAAAUACUAACAAAUAACAGAAUUGUAAUGACAAGGGAAACAAAUAACAGAAAUUGCAAUGACAAGGAAAUCAUGGCAGACAACUUUUUAAAAUGCCCACUACUUUCAGCCAGUUCAGCACUUUCCGUUAUCAGCUACACAUAGUCCUUGAAGUGCUUUGGUGGAGCUGUUUUCCUUUUGGGCCUUAGCAGGCCUGUUUCUUCCUUCUGCAAGUCCUUCUUGCUAUCAGACUGGGUCGGGGAUCUGGGUCCGGUUGGUCAAUUUAGAACCAACCGCAAGGGGAACACCUGGAAUAGGUUUAGACCCGAAUCUCAGGGCGACCAACACUGUGUGGGGCCCAGGGACAAGGGUGUGCGACUCCUUUCGUACCAGGAGCUGGCAGAACGAAAACGUAAGUGUUUGUGCUAUAAGUGUGGAGGUCCAUUUCACCCUAACCAGCAAUGCCCCGAUCAACAGAUGAGGGUGAUGCUGGUGGAGGAUGAAGACGAAGAGGAAGGUGAGGCGAAUGCAAUGGUUGAAGCAAAACACCAGGACGGUGAAUGUAGCAUGUUGUUCUUGGGAACAACUAUGGUGGUGAACGAGCAGAAACCCCAAACACUGAAGGUAAGGGCUCACAUCAAUGGAGUCCAUGUCUUAGUCUUGGUGAACAGUGGGGCAACCCACAAUUUCAUUUCUAGGAAGCUGGUGAGCACAAUGGCUUUGGCCAGUUGCUAGAACGAAGCCCAUGAACAUCAGAUUGGGGGAUGGGUACACUGCACACGAGGUGUUUAAGGAACCUCGUGGGUUGCCACCUAAAACGAGCAAGGAAAAUGCCAUUAAUUUGUUGGAAGAAGCAGGACCAGUGAAUGUGAGGUCAUACAGGUAUCCUCACCACCAUAAGAAUGAAAUUGAGAAGCCGGUGAAAGGAAUUACUUCAGUCAGGGGUGAUUCGGCCUAGUCAAAGUGCCUUCUCCUGCCCUGUAAUUUUAGGACAACUCAUGGCACAUGUGUUUCGGUUACAGGGUUCUCAACAAAGUGAUGGUACCAGAUAAAUUUCCAAUCCCCAUCAUUGAGGAGUUGUUGGAUGAGCUGCAUGGGGCAUUGUUCUUCUCCAAACUUGACCUCAAAUCCGGUCAUCAUAAGGUGGAGUAAAGGAGAGUGAUAUACAUAAAACUGUUUUUCGCACACAUGAGGCCCUCUACGAGUACAUGCUAAUGCCUUUUGGUAUCAUGAAUGCUCCCUCUAAAUUUCGGUCUUUAAUGAAUGAAAUUUUCCUCCCCAUGUUGAGAAGGACAAUGCUAGCAUUUUUUGAUGAUAUACUAGUGUAUAUUUCUAGUUGGGAGGUCCAUAUGAUUCACUUGAGAGAUGUGCUGGAAAUUUUGUAGCAAUAUCAACUUGUUGCAAAUUUUAAGAAAUGUGCUUUUGCCCAAAGGAAGGUUGAGUACUUGGGACGUAUAAUUUCCAGCAAAGGUGUGGCGGUGGACCCUGCUAAGGUGAAAAGUGUCAUGGAGUGGCCUGAGCCUAAGAAUGUCAAAGGGGUGCAAGGGUUCCUUGGUUUGACUGGGUAUUAUAGGAAGUUUAUAAGAGACUAUGGGCAGAGAGCUAAACCUCUUACUGAAUUGACAAAGAGAGAAGGUUUUAAAUGGAACUCACAAGAAGCAUUUGUGUGGCUUAAACAGCAACUGACUUCUGCUCCUGUGUUGGCCCUACCAGAUUUUCAACAGGAAUUUGUCAUUGAAAGUGAUACGUGUGGUCAGGAAUAGGGGCCAUUCUUACUCAAAACGGUAGACCUAUAGCCUAUUUCAGCAAGGCACUAGAUGAAAGGAGCUUGGCUAAGUCAGCUUAUGUGAAAGAGCUGAUGGCUGUUGCUCUAGCCAUCCAACACUGGCCAUCCUACUUGUUGGGGAGGAGGUUCAGGAUUUGCACAGACCAGAAGAGCUUGAAAUAGUUGUUGCUGCAGCAGAUAACCACCAUGGAUCAACAGAAUUGGGCCGCUAAGUUAUUGGGAUAUCAAUUCGACAUCGAAUACAAGUCGGGAUUGGAAAAUUGAGGAGCUGAUGCUCAGUCCAGAAUGUAUGGGGAAGCUGAGUUGCGAUCCUUAAUUCAUCAACCCUAAUGGGAGGAAAUUGAAGAAGUGAGGAGGGAGGUCCAUAGUGAUGUGAAGUUGUUGUGCAUCAUCUCUGACCUCCAACAGGGUAAGAACACUAGACCUGGAUUCGUGUAUAAACAUGAUACACUGUUUUAUGAAGGAUGGUUAGUGUUGUCAUCUACCUCAGCUUGCAUUCCUAAGAUGCUCAAGGAGUUCCAUUAAACUUCCCAAGGAAGGCACUCAGGUUACGAUAGGACUUAAAGAAGAUUGGCAACCAAUCUGUUUUGGUUUGGGAUGAAGAGAAGUGUACAGAAAUUUGUGAUGGCAUGUGAUGUUUGUCAAUGCCAGAAGUACUUAGCUGCUGCUCCAGGAGGGUCGCUUCAGCCAUUGAAUAUUCCAGAACAAAUCUGGGAGGAUAUAUCAAUGGAUUUCUUCACCAGACUCUCAAAAUCUUAAAGGGUAUGAGGCCAUUUUGGUGGUAGUGGAUAGAUUGUCUAAAUACGGCCAUUUCAUCCCUUUGAACCACCCUUACUCGGCGCAGAUGUUUGCUGAAAGAUUUAUCCGGGAGGUGGUGAGGCUGCAUGGUGUUCCAGCAUCAAUUAUUAGUGACCGGGACCCUAUCUUUGUUAAUUUAUUUUGGAAGGAGUUGUUUAAGCUUCAAGGCACUCAGUUGAAGAUGAGCACGGCAUAUUAUCCCCAAAUGGAUGGUCGUACAGAGGUUGUUAACCGUUGUGAGGAGUCAUUUCUUAGGUGCUUUGUGGCUGAUCAGCCCAAGAUGUGGGUGAAUUGGCUGUCGUGAGCAGAGUAUUGGUACAAUACCAAUUUCCAUGGGUCCAUGGGAACUACUCCUUUUGAGGUGGUCUAUGGCAGGAAGCCACCAGUGUUGAGUAGAUUUCUGCCAUGUGAAGUGAGGGUAGAAGCAGUUCGAAGGGAGCUGCUGGACUGGGAUGAGGCCAUCAAACAGUUAAAAUAUCACUUACAACGGGCUCAGAAUCGCAUGAAGGACCAAGCUGACAGAAAGAGGAUUGAUAGGCAGUUUGAAGUGGGGGAAUGGGUUUUCUUGAAGCUUCACCCACAUGGUCAGUCAACUGUAGGAGCCCGCAUUAAUCCUCCACGAUAUUAUGGCCUUUUAAGGUACUGCAGAGGGUUGGGGCUGUAUCUUAUAAAUUAUAGCAGUGUUGUCAAUAGUGGAUUGUGGAAAAUUGCGAGAAGCUGAAAAUCCCCUGUAGAAUAUAGCAUAUACAACUAAAGAGCGGAAGUCGCAUAGCGGCUGAAAUAGAAUAUAUAAUUAAAUAUGUAUAAAAAAAAAACCAUGCUAUAUGCAAAUAAAAAUAAGCUGGACUAACAUUAACAUAAUAUUAUCUCAAAAGUUAAAUUGUUCACCACAAAAUAUGUUCAUUCUCCUCUGCCCCUUCCUCAAUAUAAUAAAAAAAAAAUAAUAAUCUAAAAACAGCUAAAAAGCAAAUUAGCCAAACAAGUCCUAGUGAGGCACAUAAUCAAAAUAAGCUAAAAGCAGAGGAGGGAAGGAUUGAAGGGUUUACGUGGUGACUAAGAAUCAGAGGAGGGAAGGAUUGAAGGGUUUACAUUGUGACUGAGAAUCAGGGGAGGAAAGGGUUUACAUGGUGACUAUAGAAUGAUCCUGAAAAACUGAAAAGUUACAUGAAGUAGAAGUGGAAAUGCUAAGAGGUUCUAGAAUGGUUUGGAAAACUGAAAAGUUGCGUUAAGUAAACAGAAUAGAGUAAAAUGCUACUAUUGGGCCUAUUGGAAGAAAACUCAAGUCCAUAAAUAAAAAGUAAAAAAAAAAAAA
Molecule: long non-coding RNA, 5019 nt
Organism: Glycine soja
Lineage: Eukaryota; Viridiplantae; Streptophyta; Magnoliopsida; Fabales; Fabaceae
Exons: 2
Source: RefSeq, a predicted model, not a curated record